CUACGGGACGCAGCAGUAAGGAAUAUUGCGCAAUGGAGGCAACUCUGACGCAGCCAUGCCGCGUGCAGGAAGAAGGCCUUAUGGGUCGUAAACUGCUUUUAUUUAGGAAUAAACCCCCGGACGUGUUCGGGGCUGAAGGUACUAAACGAAUAAGCACCGGCUAACUCCGGGCCAGCAGCCGCGGUAAUACGGAGGGUGCAAGCGUUAUCCGGAUUUAUUGGGUUUAAAGGGUGCGCAGGCGGGCUAUUAAGUCAGUGGUGAAAUCCCGGGGCUCAACUCCGGAACUGCCAUUGAUACUGAUAGUCUUGAGUUUGGUUGAAGUGGGCGGAAUGUAGCAUGUAGCGGUGAAAUGCAUAGAUAUGCUACAGAACACCAAUCGCGAAGGCAGCUCACUAAGCCAAAACUGACGCUCAUGCACGAAAGCGUGGGGAUCAAACAGGAUUAGAUACCCUAGUAGUC
Molecule: ribosomal RNA, 459 nt
Filed under: uncultured bacterium
Lineage: Bacteria
Description: partial 16S ribosomal RNA
Rfam family: Bacterial small subunit ribosomal RNA
Source: RNAcentral